UGAAAGUAAUAAUUUUCAGUAACUCCUGCUCAAUGAUUUUUCAAUAGCCGCAGUCUCCUGUGCUAAGGUAGCAUAAUUAUUUGCCUAAUAAUUAUAGGAUAGAAUGAAAGGAUAAACAUGUAAACUGCUUUAUUUUUUAGAUUAUUUUAAUUUAUAGAAUAAGUAAAAAUUCUUAUUUGUUGAGGGGGACGACAAGACCCUAUUAAACUUUACAUUUCUUGUUUAGCUGGGGUGGCCAAAAACUAUAACUUUUAUUCAGCUAUUAAAUUAAGCUUUUAAUAAAAAUUUAAUAAGCUACUAUAGGGAUAACAGCAUAAUCCUUUUUUAUAGACCUUAUAAAAAAAAGGGCUUGUGACCUCGAUGUUGAAUUAGGGUCCUCCUAGAAGCAACCUUCUAGAAAGAAAGUCUGUUCGACUUUUAAUUACCU
RNAcentral lists this ribosomal RNA (427 nucleotides) under Teyl sp. MYG457. RNAcentral describes it as "partial 16S ribosomal RNA". It matches the Rfam family "Archaeal large subunit ribosomal RNA", at positions 1924 to 2666 of the family's 2987-position model. Lineage: Eukaryota; Metazoa; Arthropoda; Arachnida; Araneae; Anamidae. The record is from RNAcentral.